This is a non-coding RNA of Vicia faba (fava bean), 273 nucleotides long. The record is from the annotation of a GenBank genome assembly. Lineage: Eukaryota; Viridiplantae; Streptophyta; Magnoliopsida; Fabales; Fabaceae.
AUGAAUCAAAACGCACACAGCCAGCCUCACUCUCAUCCUUUUUUUUUUCAAAUUUUCCAAGUGUGUGUAACAAACUUCUCAACCACGGUUAAAGGUAUAACCUCACUCACACCACACUAUAAAAGCCUCUCAUCUCUCAUAAUCAAAUCAGUGAUCUCAGUUUGGUCAGAAACCAGAUCUGAUUUCACUCUUCUCUCUCAAGAACUUCUCUCUUCUAGUCACACAAGAGUUGCUCGUUUCUAUUUUUGUAAAGUUCAAGGCAUUGAGCAGUAG